Molecule: ribosomal RNA, 492 nt
Filed under: uncultured bacterium
Lineage: Bacteria
Description: partial 16S ribosomal RNA
Rfam family: Bacterial small subunit ribosomal RNA
Source: RNAcentral
AGUGAACGCUGGCGGUAGGCCUAACACAUGCAAGUCGAACGGCAGCACAGUAAGAGCUUGCUCUUACGGGUGGCGAGUGGCGGACGGGUGAGGAAUACAUCGGAAUCUACUUUUUCGUGGGGGAUAACGUAGGGAAACUUACGCUAAUACCGCAUACGACCUACGGGUGAAAGCAGGGGAUCUUCGGACCUUGCGCGAUUGAAUGAGCCGAUGUCGGAUUAGCUAGUUGGCGGGGUAAAGACCCACCAAGGCGACGAUUCGUAGCUGGACUGAGAGGAGGGUAGGCCACCUGGGAAGUGGGACGCGGUCAAGGCUACUAAGGGAGGGAGCAGAGGGGAAUGUUAGGCAACGGUCGCAAGCCUGAUACAGUCAGAGCGAGUGGGUGAAGAAGGCGUUCGGGUCGUAAAGCCGUUUUGCUGGUAAAGAACAGCAGCAGGUUAAUACGACGCUGUUCUGACGGUACUGAAUGAAGAAGCACCGGCUAACUUCGUG